This 222-nucleotide unclassified non-coding RNA is filed under the name Hevea brasiliensis (rubber tree). The record is from RNAcentral. Lineage: Eukaryota; Viridiplantae; Streptophyta; Magnoliopsida; Malpighiales; Euphorbiaceae.
GCUAGGGUGAUGUAUUCAUAUUUGCACUUGUUAUCAGAAAUAAGAAUGAUGAUCUGCAAUUGUCACUACCUCUGAGGCAAACAAUCAAUACCCCAUUGUUGAUUUGUUUAAUAGCUUUUUUUUUCCUCUCAGAAUAUUUGUUGUGUAUUGCACAUUGCAUCUCUUACUUGUUAAAUUCCAAUCCUUUUUGGCUUGAUUUGAAAAUUUUAUGGUGUUCUAGAU